Long non-coding RNA from Oncorhynchus gorbuscha (pink salmon), 708 nucleotides. RefSeq lists it as uncharacterized. The transcript has 4 exons. Lineage: Eukaryota; Metazoa; Chordata; Actinopteri; Salmoniformes; Salmonidae. The record is from RefSeq and is a predicted model, not a curated record.
GAUAAAAAGACUAAACCACCGGGAUAACGUGGGGUUAUCCAUGUUAUGUGAAGGGACCUGAUAUAUUUCGUAUGUAUAGGCCUAUUUUCUGAAUUGCAAAUCAACCAACUGCUGUGUAGUGAAUUCUUCAGCGAAAGUUGCAUGGAGACAGGCGCGAGAAGGCGCCAGAAGAGCUGAGCGAGAGCACGCGAAAUCAAAUAUACAUAAUAACAAUAAUAUACGACAAGUACGAAUGAGAGCGAUACGGAGAGGCAGCUCUUGUGCAGAGUUGGUAGAUGAAAAUGUAUGUAGCCUUCAUUACAUGCGCUCCACGUAACGUUCCUGAGCGAUGCCUUUUGGUCCCUAGCCCCUGCUAUAUGGUGAGAGCCUGACUUGACGAAGAAGGGCUCUGGCGUUCGUUCCCUACGCCACGUUACAUUCUGGCCAGAAACGUCGACUCUCUUGGGAUUUCAUCGUCUCCAUUGACAAAGAUGUUCGUGGCGGGGGCUCGGAGCAGUGUGAAUAACUACUACUGACGUAACUCACAAAAACAGUUGGACGUGACAUAUGAGUGCUGGAUGUAUUUCUAUCCUAAUUUACAAUUACAUGUGGAAUUGUUGUAUUCAUUUGAUGGGUAUAGACUGUAAGUCAUGUCCCUUUGAUGCACUUCUCAUAAGAUCUCAAAUGCUGAAAUAUCUUUUCAUUGGUUAUAAAUGUUUUUGCCCCGUU